CGGGCGCGACCCGCUCCGGGGACAGUGCCAGGUGGGGAGUUUGACUGGGGC
Molecule: ribosomal RNA, 51 nt
Filed under: Solihabitans fulvus
Lineage: Bacteria; Bacillati; Actinomycetota; Actinomycetes; Pseudonocardiales; Pseudonocardiaceae
Description: Goodfellowiella sp. AN110305 partial 23S ribosomal RNA
Source: RNAcentral